Long non-coding RNA from Acanthopagrus latus (yellowfin seabream), 840 nucleotides. RefSeq lists it as uncharacterized. The record is from RefSeq and is a predicted model, not a curated record. The transcript is spliced from 3 exons. NCBI's taxonomy places the organism in Eukaryota, Metazoa, Chordata, Actinopteri, Spariformes, Sparidae.
CCGUUGAUGCUGAAAAAGCAACAGCCAACGAUGGAUACAACAAACUGUAACUCUCAACAUUCAGCAAGUGUCAUGGGCUUUGGAAUAAGUGUGGACAAUCCUGCCAAGCAGCUGAAGCUGUUUAAGAUGCCUGCUCCCUCCAGCUGCUACGACUAAAUGCCACCAGGUGGAACUUGCUGUUUAUGGCUGUGGAGAGGCUACUCAAGAUUCUGAGAGAGAAAGGAGAGCCAGCUUUGAGAGAGAUCUGUGUAGAAUUGAAGGUUCCAGGAAUCCAUCCUGUUGAGCUCACUUUCAUCGAAGAGUACUACACCACUAUGAGCCCUGUCGCCCAAUCUAUCAGCAUCCUCCAAGGAGAAGCGGAAGUCCAGAUGGGAUGGCUUCUUCCAUCUUCUUCGCCAUUUUGGCAAGGUGUAAAGAGACCCUGAAUUGAUUGCUGCAGCGAUUCUCAUCCCAAAGUUCAGAACGGCCUGGAUCAAAGAUGAUGCUACACUGAGAAUCGGGUUGGACUACAACAGGGAGCAGUUAGAGGAUCCUUCCAUUUCAGCAGAUGCUGGAUGUUGGAUCUGGCUCAUCUGAUUGCAUUUCCAUGGAGUAAUAAUCAUACAUUUUCAUCCUCGAGCUGCAGAACUCUACUGCACUCAGUAAUCGAAUCGCAGGGCUUUCCCAUAACGGGAAGCUGCAGCAGGAGAGUGGUGAGUUGUGUUCACUUUUCAAUAGCAAUCCACCUAAGCUAGCGUAGGUGUGAUGCCUCGAACUAUGUGCUGAGACCCUAUUUGUAUUGUUGCUGAAGUUUGGUGCUGUUCUGAGCAUUAUUUGUGGCUUUUUGAUGGCAGUUUCUUG